UACGGAGGGUGCAAGCGUUGUUCGGAAUUACUGGGCGUAAAGCGCGUGUAGGCGGUUUCCUCAGUCUGGUGUGAAAGCCCGGGGCUCACCCCCGGAAGUGCAUCGGAUACUGGGAGACUAGAGUACCGGAGAGGAGGGUGGAAUUCCUGGUGUAGCGGUGAAAUGCGUAGAUAUCAGGAGGAGCACCGGUGGCGAAGGCGGGUCUCUGGGCCGAUACUGACGCUGAGGAGCGAAAGCGUGGGGAGCAAACAGG
This 253-nucleotide ribosomal RNA is filed under the name uncultured bacterium. Its description in RNAcentral is "partial 16S ribosomal RNA". It matches the Rfam family "Bacterial small subunit ribosomal RNA", at positions 524 to 776 of the family's 1533-position model. The record is from RNAcentral.